RNAcentral lists this ribosomal RNA (447 nucleotides) under uncultured bacterium. RNAcentral describes it as "bacterial SSU rRNA". It matches the Rfam family "Bacterial small subunit ribosomal RNA", at positions 355 to 825 of the family's 1533-position model. The record is from RNAcentral.
UCGGGAAUUUUGGGCAAUGGGGGAAACCCUGACCCAGCAACGCCGCGUGAAGGAUGAAGUAUUUCGGUAUGUAAACUUCGAAAGAAUAGGAAGAAUAAAUGACGGUACUAUUUAUAAGGUCCGGCUAACUACGUGCCAGCAGCCGCGGUAAUACGUAGGGACCAAGCGUUGUUCGGAUUUACUGGGCGUAAAGGGCGCGUAGGCGGCAAUUCAAGUCAUCUGUGAAAUCUCCGGGCUUAACUCGGAACGGUCAGAUGAUACUGCUUUGCUAGAGUGCAGAAGGGGCAAUCGGAAUUCUUGGUGUAGCGGUGAAAUGCGUAGAUAUCAAGAGGAACACCUGAGGUGAAGACGGGUUGCUGGGCUGACACUGACGCUGAGGCGCGAAAGCCAGGGGAGCAAACGGGAUUAGAUACCCCAGUAGUCCCUGAGCGGGCUGGCAAGGCGCAU